AAAAUAAGCGGUGCCAAGACUCAAGCCUGCCGCAAAAUUAGAUUCUCUCUGACCCGAAGAGACCUGUUCACCACUGCCGUGAAGGGAAGUAGGUGGCUCCCUCUGCCUACUCUGGGGAGAAGGCAAGGCGCUCUGCGUAUCCUCAGAGACACAGAUGACCUCUUGGACUGCCUGCGCAGUAGUAAUUUACUACUGUACAAAUUGUGCCCUAAUGACAGGCUCCAGGGCAUAAAUUCUACCAAGCUCUCACAUGAAGCACCGGAUGAUAUCCAGGCCUUCUCCUCCGAUGGACCCUCCUUUUCAGUAAAAUAACCCAAGGAUGCGCGCACAGGAGCACGCACGCACGCACUCUUUCCCGGAGCGUCUCUCGCUUCCGCGGCGAAGCAGCGACCGGCUGACGUCUCUUCCUUCCACGACGCUUCUCUGAUGUCUGAGAGGGCACAUGAUGGCAAUCAGGAUGAAAAGAUUAAGUCUAAUAAAGUAUCUCAGAAGAAUGGUUGUGGCAGAAGUUCUGAAAGGUUCAAAGUUUCCAGAAAUUUUAUAUCCCUAACUACCAUACAGUGCUUGCUUGCUGCUAUGAAGAGUAUUGUUCUAAAAAUAAUGUUACAGUAUGGUUGCAACCUGCUGUACUUUGCUACUUUAAGAGAAAUGCUUCAUUGUACUGUUCUUGGCUAUGCUGAGUUGUCCAAACAG
Rhineura floridana is the source of this 693-nucleotide long non-coding RNA. RefSeq lists it as uncharacterized. The transcript has 3 exons. The record is from RefSeq and is a predicted model, not a curated record. NCBI's taxonomy places the organism in Eukaryota, Metazoa, Chordata, Lepidosauria, Squamata, Rhineuridae.